This 313-nucleotide ribosomal RNA is filed under the name uncultured Paracercomonas. RNAcentral describes it as "SSU rRNA". The stretch from base 101 to 313 matches the Rfam family "Eukaryotic small subunit ribosomal RNA", at positions 741 to 955 of the family's 1831-position model. Lineage: Eukaryota; Cercozoa; Cercomonadida; Cercomonadidae. The record is from RNAcentral.
AAUUUCUGGUAUGGUGCGCCUGGCCCGCUGCAGCAAUGCAUGCGAGUGUCGGUGUGCGUCUGCCAUCUUUGUGGGGAAACUCCUCUUCACUGGGGAGUUGCACCACAUCUUUUACUUUGAAAAAAUUAGAGUGUUUAAAGCAGGCUUGCGCUAUGAAUACAUUAGCAUGGAAUAAUAAUUUAGGACUUCGUUUCUAUUUUGUUGGUUUCUAGGGAUGAAGUAAUGAUUGAUAGGGAUAGUUGGGGGUGCUAGUAUUCAUCGGCCAGAGGUGAAAUUCUUGGAUUCGAUGAAGACUAACUUAUGCGAAAGCAUU